GAUGAACGCUGGCGGCGUGCCUAAUACAUGCAAGUCGAGCGAACAGACGAGGAGCUUGCUCCUUUGACGUUAGCGGCGGACGGGUGAGUAACACGUGGAUAACCUACCUAUAAGACUGGGAUAACUUCGGGAAACCGGAGCUAAUACCGGAUAACAUGUUGAACCACAUGGUUCAACAGUGAAAGACGGUCUUGCUGUCACUUAUAGAUGAAUCCGCGCCGCAUUAGCUAGUUGGUAAGGUAACGGCUUACCAAGGCAACGAUGCGUAGCCGACCUGAGAGGGUGAUCGGCCACACUGGAACUGAGACACGGUCCAGACUCCUACGGGAGGCAGCAGUAGGGAAUCUUCCGCAAUGGGCGAAAGCCUGACGGAGCAACGCCGCGUGAGUGAAGAAGGUCUUCGGAUCGUAAAACUCUGUUAUUAGGGAAGAACAAAUGUGUAAGUAACUAUGCACGUCUUGACGGUACCUAAUCAGAAAGCCACGGCUAACUACGUG
This 497-nucleotide ribosomal RNA is filed under the name uncultured bacterium. Its description in RNAcentral is "partial 16S ribosomal RNA". It matches the Rfam family "Bacterial small subunit ribosomal RNA", at positions 28 to 507 of the family's 1533-position model. The record is from RNAcentral.